Molecule: non-coding RNA, 979 nt
Organism: Leptonychotes weddellii (Weddell seal)
Lineage: Eukaryota; Metazoa; Chordata; Mammalia; Carnivora; Phocidae
Source: RefSeq, a predicted model, not a curated record
ACAUAAAGUAUCAUGUCAUCUUUGAAAAGAGAGUUUGGAAUGGUACAGGAUUGGGUAUCAUUGUACAGCUUUGGCGGUCUGUUAGUAAAGCUGAGGGAUGCCUAUGGAAAAAAAGUAGGAGAAGGUGUAUUCACAGGACACAGCCAUGGAAACCUGGUCAGUUGAUCAGGUCUGCAUUUGGUUGGUGGAGAAAAACUUAGGAGAGCUAGUUCAUAGGUUUCAAGAGGAAGAAGUAAGUGGGGCCGCUCUUCUAGCACUUAACGAUCGGAUGGUUCAGCAACUGGUAAAGAAAAUUGGGCACCAGGCUGUUCUGAUGGAUUUAAUUAAAAAAUAUAAGCAGGAGGGUCAAAGACUGGAGUCCUUUGGAAGCCCUAGAGAAACAGCCCCUCUUGCUCAAGCAGGAGCAGACCCAGAGGAUGAAGAGUCCCCUAGUCCUGCCAACCGUGGGAAGCAGACACCAUCUUUCUAUGUAGCCAAAAACCUUGAUAAUGGACUAAUUGACCAAAGAGUACUGAAACAGAGAAGGAAUAUGAAACAUGUUCUAGCAAGGAAUAAAGCAUUGCAAUGGACUAAGUCCUAUGUUUUACCAGAGUUUCCCUAUGAUGUCAAAUGCAUGUUAGCAGAACAGAAGUGUCCCGAUCACAGCAUGAGGAUAAGGAUCAUUGAGUUUCUCCAGGCCGACCUGACUAAGUAUCGGGAAGGCUCACUGUAUCCCAGCACCCAGCAGUACAAUGAUGUGGUCAACGCCUUGCUGCAGGCCCACCCUUUCCUGGACGACGAUGGCUGUGGCUUUUUUUUAUGGAAACGAGCUCUCAAAGAUCGCUUUAAAUAUGUUCGGAGACCCAUAGAAGAUGAUGAACAAGUGAUGAGAAAUAAGUGUAAAUUUGGACACAGAAGAGGCCAGACGAAGAAAUCUCUUACCAAUAUAAGCUUUGAUGAAGUUAAAAUUGUCCAGAUAAAAGUAAGAUUGGAUAUUUAG